AACGCACGAGACCUGCGGACCUGCGGAGGGAUCAUUAAUGAGAAACUGCCCCUCGCGGGUAGAUCUCCCACCCUUUGUAAACUUACCUUUGUUGCUUUGGCAGGCCCGUCUCCGGACCGCCGGCUUCGGCUGGCCAGUGCCUGCCAGAGGAUUCUAAAACUCUGUCUGUCAGUGUUGUCUGAGUCUAUUUACAAUCGUUAAAACUUUUAGCAAUGGAUCUCUAGAUCGGAAGAGCACACG
Molecule: unclassified non-coding RNA, 240 nt
Filed under: soil metagenome
Description: partial contains 5.8S ribosomal RNA, internal transcribed spacer 2, and large subunit ribosomal RNA
Source: RNAcentral